CUGGGCUCUGCGAGUGGCGUGUUGCCAGUCUCCUGCCUCACAUUAACAGGAAUACUAUAUAUUACUAAAUUCAAAGUGUUUUUCAUUCAGGACUAGAAGAAUGUAAUGGAGCAUGCAUCUGGCAGCAGGACACCAUGGCUGUGGAGAGCUGGAGAGGAGAAUGGUGUCAUCAUCUGAGGGGAAACACAAAGCAGAAAGGAAUGAGGAGGGGAAAUUUCAGUGCUUAUUUUUAGACUCCGUGGACAGAUUCAGGGGCACUUCUGACGCCUUUGGAAGCCAGAAUUCCAUUGCAAAGCACUGGAAAGGAAGGGAAAUACGGAGGUGGAAGGAAGUACUUGAGGUACACAUGAAAUACUUUCAAGUGACUGAGACCAGUGCACAGAGCUCAGCUCAUGGCCCACCUCUGGACACCAGGAACAACCUCCUGCACAUCAGGAGCAGGUCUGGACACCAGGAACAACCUCCCUAGACACCAGGAGCAACCUCCUGGACACCCCAUUAUUGACAGAUGUCUGUGGGAACCAACUGUCAGCAAUAGUAGCUGAAGCUUUUUGAAAGCUUUUUCCCGCUUGCUUUUCCUAGAACUAAAAUAAAAUGAGAACAGGAUCUGUGGCCUGGUCUAUC
Molecule: long non-coding RNA, 624 nt
Filed under: Cyanistes caeruleus (blue tit)
Lineage: Eukaryota; Metazoa; Chordata; Aves; Passeriformes; Paridae
Description: lncRNA (ENSCCEG00000017896.1)
Source: RNAcentral